Molecule: ribosomal RNA, 497 nt
Filed under: uncultured bacterium
Lineage: Bacteria
Description: partial 16S ribosomal RNA
Rfam family: Bacterial small subunit ribosomal RNA
Source: RNAcentral
ACUCAAAUGAAUAGACGGGGGCCCGCACAAGCGGCGGAGCAUGUGGAUUAAUUCGAUGCAACGCGAAGAACCUUACCUGGGUUUGACAUGCACCAGAUGCCGGUAGAGAUGCCGGUUCCCUUGUGGUUGGUGUGCAGGUGGUGCAUGGCUGUCGUCAGCUCGUGUCGUGAGAUGUUGGGUUAAGUCCCGCAACGAGCGCAACCCUCGUUCCAUGUUGCCAGCAUUUCGGAUGGGGACUCAUGGGAGACUGCCGGGGUCAACUCGGAGGAAGGUGGGGAUGACGUCAAGUCAUCAUGCCCCUUAUGUCCAGGGCUUCACACAUGCUACAAUGGCUCAUACAGAGGGCUGCGAGACCGUGAGGUGGAGCGAAUCCCUUAAAGUGGGUCUCAGUUCGGAUCGGGGUCUGCAACUCGACCCCGUGAAGGUGGAGUCGCUAGUAAUCGCAGAUCAGCAACGCUGCGGUGAAUACGUUCCCGGGCCUUGCACACACCGCCCGU